Molecule: ribosomal RNA, 603 nt
Filed under: uncultured Pseudomonadota bacterium
Lineage: Bacteria; Pseudomonadati; Pseudomonadota
Description: bacterial SSU rRNA
Rfam family: Bacterial small subunit ribosomal RNA
Source: RNAcentral
ACGACCAGCCACACUGGAACUGAGACACGGUCCAGACUCNUACGGGAGGCAGCAGUGGGGAAUUUUGGACAAUGGGCGCAAGCCUGAUCCAGCAAUGCCGCGUGCAGGAAGAAGGCCUUCGGGUUGUAAACUGCUUUUGUACGGAACGAAACGGUCUGGGUUAAUACCCUGGGCUAAUGACGGUACCGUAAGAAUAAGCACCGGCUAACUACGUGCCAGCAGCCGCGGUAAUACGUAGGGUGCAAGCGUUAAUCGGAAUUACUGGGCGUAAAGCGUGCGCAGGCGGUUUUGUAAGACAGUCGUGAAAUCCCCGGGCUCAACCUGGGAAUUGCGAUUGUGACUGCAAAGCUGGAGUGCGGCAGAGGGGGAUGGAAUUCCGCGUGUAGCAGUGAAAUGCGUAGAUAUGCGGAGGAACACCGAUGGCGAAGGCAAUCCCCUGGGCCUGCACUGACGCUCAUGCACGAAAGCGUGGGGAGCAAACAGGAUUAGAUACCCUGGUAGUCCACGCCCUAAACGAUGUCAACUGGUUGUUGGACGGCUUGCUGUUCAGUAACGAAGCUAACGCGUGAAGUUGACCGCCUGGGGAGUACGGCCGCAAGGUUG